UCUUAGUGCUUCUUUGUUUGUUAAAAUUCUCAAUGCUUUCUUUUUCCUACAACCCUCUCAAUACUUUCUUUCAAAACUUCACAACUGUCGUAGAUGACCAAGUACAGCGGCUGUGGUGGUUCGAUCAUGUUCAUCACUAACAAUUUACGAGAUUACCGGUGGGGCGGUAAUCCGUUAUGGCGGACAAGGGGAUGGUGAGACGAUUCACAACGCCGACGGGCGGCGAUUAGGGCCCUACAAGUAGAAUAUGGCUGCUAACAAGUCAAAUGGAGUAGUUGACCUCCGCCGAUAUACAAGGUUGCUCAGAUCAGUAGAAUCAAAGGUUAAUCGGCAAACAACUUCCUGACAAUCAGGAUUCUGUGCGCCGUUAGCUGAGGCGGUGGUGGUGCACGUGUCAGCGGUGUAUAUGGUGGCGGUGGUGAACAUGGUUGUUGUUUUCUUCUACCUGUGAAAUGCAGGGUGCUUCAUGGGUUGAAUAGAGAACUUUGCAAUGAUAUUAGUAGCAAGCUUAUAAGAUUUAUGCAUAAGUAGACAUAAAAUACUAAACUUUUGUGUUAAAUGCUCUUCUAUUUAUCUUAUAGUUAUGUUGCAGAAUAGGAUAAUCCAGUUGGGACAGGAUACAGUUUUGUGGAGGAUGAAGAGUUAUUGGUGAAAAUAGAUGAAGAAGCUGCUAGGGACUUAACUACAUUGUUGAUUAAAUUAUUUAACAGGUACUGCAGGUUUAGUACGUCCUAUGACAAAUACUCACAUCAUCACAUGACCAGAGAGAUCUGGGACAACGUCGACACCAACGAUUAGUUUCAAGAAAGGGAAAAUUAAAGGAGAAGCAGAAGAUAGAUUUUUUUAUCUGAACCCAAAUAAAGAUAAAGUGAAGCGGAAGAACUGAAUCGGCGAUGCAGAGAUAUGCAGUCAUUAACCUUUGAGGAAAGAAAGGUCAACCCGCUCCACCUCCAGGUACACAUGCAUAAAGGCCAGACCAAAAAACAAUUAGCCAAUUACAAAUCUCCUCGGAUGCAAGUGAUGACCUGUCAACAAAAGGAAAACUUUUUUCAUGAAAGAAUUUCACACGCCUAUGUUUGUAUUGUAAGUCGUAGGAUAACGGAUGUAAGUGGUUUACAAAAUGGUGUUAUAGUUCAUUUUGAACCCAGUUUUCUACACAUUGUUCAUGAUACAUGAAACAACACCAAAAAUCAAUUAAACUUUAAAAUUGCAACUCCCUAUCCCAGUUUUUCAAAGAUGGAAGACAUUUUGACUUGGAAUAAUACGUUUUGAUUCGAGGGUA
Molecule: long non-coding RNA, 1282 nt
Organism: Helianthus annuus (common sunflower)
Lineage: Eukaryota; Viridiplantae; Streptophyta; Magnoliopsida; Asterales; Asteraceae
Exons: 8
Source: RefSeq, a predicted model, not a curated record